RNAcentral lists this ribosomal RNA (243 nucleotides) under Microcaldota archaeon. RNAcentral describes it as "partial 16S ribosomal RNA". It matches the Rfam family "Archaeal small subunit ribosomal RNA", at positions 1234 to 1478 of the family's 1478-position model. Lineage: Archaea; Nanobdellati; Microcaldota. The record is from RNAcentral.
AAAACCAACCCAAGUUCGGAUUGAGGGCUGAAACUCGCCCUCAUGAAGAUGGAAUCCCUAGUAAUCGCUUGUCACUAUCGAGCGGUGAAUCUGUCCCUGCUCCUUGCACACACCGCCUGCCAAGUCACCCAAGUAGGGCCCUAGUGAGGUAGCGUCUUCGGGCGCUUUCGAGUUAGGGUUCUGUGAGGAGGGCUAAGGCAUAACAAGGUAUCCGUAGGGGAACCUGCGGAUAGAUCACCUCGA